CUCUGUGACUCCUACGGGAGGCAGCAGUGGGGAAUAUUGCACAAUGGGCGCAAGCCUGAUGCAGCAACGCCGUGUGAGUGAAGAAGGUUUUCGGAUCGUAAAACUCUGUCCUAAGGGAAGAAACAAAUGACGGUACCUUAGGAGGAAGCCCCGGCUAACUACGUGCCAGCAGCCGCGGUAAUACGUAGGGGGCAAGCGUUAUCCGGAAUCACUGGGCGUAAAGGGUGCGUAGGCGGCUUAGCAAGCCAGGGGUGAAAGGCAUUGGCUCAACCAAUGUAAGCCUUUGGAACUGUUAAGCUUGAGUGCAGGAGAGGAAAGUGGAAUUCCUAGUGUAGAGGUGAAAUUCGUAGAUAUUAGGAGGAACACCAGUGGCGAAGGCGACUUUCUGGACUGUAACUGACGCUGAGGCACGAAAGCGUGGGGAGCGAACAGGAUUAGAUACCCUGUAG
This 449-nucleotide ribosomal RNA is filed under the name uncultured bacterium. RNAcentral describes it as "bacterial SSU rRNA". It matches the Rfam family "Bacterial small subunit ribosomal RNA", at positions 328 to 793 of the family's 1533-position model. The record is from RNAcentral.